Molecule: ribosomal RNA, 1302 nt
Filed under: Triticum aestivum (bread wheat)
Lineage: Eukaryota; Viridiplantae; Streptophyta; Magnoliopsida; Poales; Poaceae
Description: partial small subunit ribosomal RNA
Source: RNAcentral
AUGAGGAGCCUGAAGAAGAAGCAGCAACAGCUUCAAGUUGAUCAAGAUCUGCUCACAGGGAGAUGGACGGAAGUCCUGGCAGCCGAGGAAUAUGGACUCGAGCGCCACAUGGCUGACCGGCCGCCUCGAGGUCGGGAUAAAACGGCAUAUCAGCCUGAAUACCAGCCUGCACCCCCGCGCCAGUUUACUACAACCCGGGGCAAUACUCAGGAACUGCGUGAUAGAUUGGAUAGCACCGCAGGACAACCAAGAUCGAUCUACGGAUCACGGGGGCGCGCUGCAGCACAUGACCAUGACCAUCAUACCAGAUACACUAACAGUAAAUCCGGCCGGCCUGAACACAACCAGCCAGAUUUAGCCGGACUGCGUCAUGACAUAGCCUGGCACAGAGGCGCCGCACACCCCCUCUGCUUCACUGAUGAAGUGAUGGAUCAUGAAUUCUCAGAAGGGUUCAAACCCGUAAACAUCGAAUCAUACGAUGGCACAACAUACCCCGCGGUAUGGAUUGAAGACUUCCUUCUCCACAUCCACAUGGCCCGCGGAGAUGAUCUACAUGCCAUCAAGUAUCUUCCCCUUAAGCUCAAAGGACCCGCCCGGUACUGGCUUAACAGCCUGCCCGCAAAUUCCAUUGGCAGUUGGGAAAACCUGGAAGACGCAUUCCUUGACAACUUCCAAGGCACAUAUGUGCGACCUCCGGACGCCGAUGACUUGAGCCACAUCACUCAACAGCCCGGAGAAUCAGCCAGGAAAUUCUGGACUCGGUUCCUAACUAAAAAGAACCAAAUAGUCGACUGUCCGGACGCCGAAGCGCUGGCGGCCUUCAAGCAUAAUAUCCGCGACGAGUGGCUCGCCCGACACCUCGGCCAGGAGAAACCCAAGCCCAUGGCAGCUCUCACGACACUAAUGACCCGCUUUUGCCCGGGCGAGGACAACUGGUUGGCUCGCAGCAGCACUACACCACAUUCUCGCACGUCAGAUGUCCGUGACAAUAAUGGCAAGCUACGGCGCAAUAGACACAAGCGAUGGAACAACAGCGACAACACCGAAGACACGAUAGUCAAUGCCGGAUUCACCGAAUCUAAAUCCGGUCAGCGGAAGAAGCCAUUCAAAAGAAACAACCAGGGACCGUCCAGUGGUGGCUCGGCCGCAUUGGUCUUAGACCCAAUCAUCGACGAAUUCCAUCUCACGCGAGUCCUUAUGGACGACGGCAACAGCCUUUACCUGCUUUACCAAGACAUAGUGCGCAAAAUGGGCAUCGAUCCUUCAGGAUCAAGCCCACCAAAACCACCUUUAAAGGUGUAA